CCCACAGCCGUGCACACCUUACUUUCUCCUUUACAUUCAGGGUUGCUCUCCUCUUCCACAUGCUAGGAUGGCAUUGUCUACUCCCACCAACCUCACGGAGUUGUUGCAAACAAAAAGGAUAGUUUGUUUUAAAAGCAAGUAAGUGUGAACAUCAACUAACAGAGCAUGAAAAUGGUAAAUUCCUUGUGGAUGACCUGUUGCAUCCAGCACCUGUGCAAACAGCUGGACCCGGGAGCCAUCUGCCCAGUUUCUCCAGCUGAAACUCUUGAUGCUGAAUCUCCAGGGAACUCACCCGUUGGCACGGUGCACGGUAAACAGGGCUUGAGGCCUGGAGGAUAUCACACAUGAAAACUUUGUGAGGAAGAAAUCUGCAGUUGCUGUUAAGUUUUGAAAUACACGUACUCCGUGACCCAACUAUCUCACCGUUGGAAUUUAUCCCACAGGAAAACAGCAACAGACUUCCCAGACAGAGCUAUAGGCUCAGUAUUGUCCUUGGCUUGCUGGUGUGCUUGUUUCAAGCAUCGUUUGAGGCAGCUAGACUCUGGAAACAACCUGAAUGUCCAGCGGGAAGCAGAAGUGAAACUCAUUAAAAAGAGAGGUGGUUGAAUCAGUGGUGGCAUAUUCAUUCUCUGGAAUAUUAAGUAGCAACCAAAGAAAAAGGCUCAGAUCUCUGCCUACGGCCUCUGUGGAUCCACUCACAUUGUUUUGUUUUUGUUUUUUUGUUUUUGUUUUUGUUUUGCAACACUUUAUUUUGUCCUUAAUUUCCAUUUCGUAAGUCUGUGUUAAAAUAUAGACUUAUAUAUAUUUCUAAAGAGGCACAGCCUGCAUAUAAUUUUAAAAUGGCAUAACAAAAUGGUCUGAGGAAAAAAAAAACAACAACAUGGUUUUGUUUUUGAUAUUUUUGUGUAGGGGCCAUUCCUGGAACUGAUUCGACAUGCAGGGAUCCUCUGGGGUCCUGGUAGUGUCCAUGCUCAGCCUGAGGUCAGUCUUACUUGUGUAAGUGCUGACUGCGGUUUCAACCGUCAUGUAGGGCACAUGUAUUAGAUGUUCUUCAAGAGUGCAUGUCAAAUCUAAUAAGUGAGUUUUGGCACUGCAUGUGAAAUCAGU
This 1107-nucleotide long non-coding RNA is filed under the name Mustela putorius furo (domestic ferret). RNAcentral's name for it is "lncRNA (ENSMPUG00000030510.1)". The record is from RNAcentral. Lineage: Eukaryota; Metazoa; Chordata; Mammalia; Carnivora; Mustelidae.